AUUGAACGCUGGCGGCAGGCCUAACACAUGCAAGUCGAGCGGAUGAAGGGAGCUUGCUCCUGGAUUCAGCGGCGGACGGGUGAGUAAUGCCUAGGAAUCUGCCUGGUAGUGGGGGAUAACGUCCGGAAACGGGCGCUAAUACCACAUACGUCCUGAGGGAGAAAGUGGGGGAUCUUCGGACCUCACGCUAUCAGAUGAGCCUAGGUCGGAUUAGCUAGUUGGUGGGGUAAAGGCCUACCAAGGCGACGAUCCGUAACUGGUCUGAGAGGAUGAUCAGUCACACUGGAACUGAGACACGGUCCAGACUCCUACGGGAGGCAGCAGUGGGGAAUAUUGGACAGUGGGCGAAAGCCUGAUCCAGCCAUGCCGCGUGUGCGAAGAAGGUCUUCGGAUUGUAAAGCACUUUAAGUUGGGAGGAAGGGCAGUAAGUUAAUACCUUGCUGUUUUGACGUUACCAACAGAAUAAGCACCGGCUAACUUCGUG
RNAcentral lists this ribosomal RNA (484 nucleotides) under uncultured bacterium. Its description in RNAcentral is "partial 16S ribosomal RNA". It matches the Rfam family "Bacterial small subunit ribosomal RNA", at positions 30 to 507 of the family's 1533-position model. The record is from RNAcentral.